Molecule: transfer RNA, 72 nt
Filed under: Sphaerodactylus townsendi
Lineage: Eukaryota; Metazoa; Chordata; Lepidosauria; Squamata; Sphaerodactylidae
Description: tRNA-Ala
Source: RNAcentral
GGGGCUGUGGCUCAGUGGUAGUACACUUGCUUUGCAUGCAGAAGGCCCCAGGUUCAGUCCUUGCCAACUUCA